AGCUUUGUGCAGUGGUAAUAUCAUAGCCAAUGAAGGCUUACUGAGGAGUGAUUAUUGCUAUUUGAAAACUUUACUAAUGUGCUAUACGUGUGUCGGAGUGCAGUGAGUGACAAUAAAGUGUUGAAAGCACAACAAGGGA
This is a small nuclear RNA of Protopterus annectens (West African lungfish), 139 nucleotides long. RefSeq annotates it as U4 spliceosomal RNA. The record is from RefSeq and is a predicted model, not a curated record. The transcript has a single exon. Lineage: Eukaryota; Metazoa; Chordata; Ceratodontiformes; Protopteridae.